GUUGACCUCGGAUCAGGUAGGAAUACCCGCUGAACUUAAGCAUAUCAAUAAGCGGAGGAAAAGAAACCAACAGGGAUUGCCCUAGUAACGGCGAGUGAAGCGGCAACAGCUCAAAUUUGAAAUCUGGCCUCGGCCCGAGUUGUAAUUUGCAGAGGAUGCUUCUGGCGCGGUGCCUUCCGAGUUCCCUGGAACGGGACGCCACAGAGGGUGAGAGCCCCGUAUGGUCGGACACCAAGCCUGUGUGAAGCUCCUUCGACGAGUCGAGUAGUUUGGGAAUGCUGCUCAAAAUGGGAGGUAAAUCUCUUCUAAAGCUAAAUACUGGCCAGAGACCGAUAGCGCACAAGUAGAGUGAUCGAAAGAUGAAAAGCACCUUGAAAAGGGGGUUAAACAGUACGUGAAAUUGUUGAAAGGGAAGCGCUUGUGACCAGACUUGCGCCGGGCGGCUCAUCAGGGGUUCUCCCCUGUGUACUCCGCCCGGUUCAGGCCAGCAUCGGUUCUCGCCGGGGGAUAACAACGGUGGGAACGUGGCCCUCCCUCGGGGGGGUGUUAUAGCCCGCCGUACGAUAUCCUGGCGGGGACCGAGGUUCGCGCUCCGCAAGGAUGCUGGCGUAAUGGUCAUCAGCGACCCGUCUUGAAACACGGACCAAGGAGUCGUCCAUUAGAGCGAGCGUUUGGGUGUAAAACCCGCACGCGUAAUGAAAGUGAAAUUAGGUGAGAGCUUCGGCGCAUCAUCGACCGAUCCUGAUGUUCUCGGAUGGAUUUGAGUAAGAGUUUUAACGGACGGACCCGAAAGACAGUGAACUAUGCUUGUAUAGGGUGAAGCCAGAGGAAACUCUGGUGGAGGCUCGCAGCGGUUCUGACGUGCAAAUCGAUCGUCAAAUAUGAGCAUGGGGGCGAAAGACUAAUCGAAC
This 911-nucleotide ribosomal RNA is filed under the name Melanconiella spodiaea. RNAcentral describes it as "eukaryotic LSU rRNA". It matches the Rfam family "Eukaryotic large subunit ribosomal RNA", at positions 1 to 940 of the family's 3401-position model. Lineage: Eukaryota; Fungi; Ascomycota; Sordariomycetes; Diaporthales; Melanconiellaceae. The record is from RNAcentral.